RNAcentral lists this long non-coding RNA (1231 nucleotides) under Triticum aestivum (bread wheat). Its description in RNAcentral is "long non-coding RNA (TAES_LNC027526)". The record is from RNAcentral. Lineage: Eukaryota; Viridiplantae; Streptophyta; Magnoliopsida; Poales; Poaceae.
GACGAGGUGGGAAAGCAGGCGACAUGGUACCACUUGGUGCUGUCGAAGCCACGGGGGUCAUGGGCUGAGACGCCAAUGCGAAGAGCGCCCUUGGUGAUGCUUGCAUUGCAGGUCUUGCACGUGGAACGGGCGGACUUGGCGUAUUCAACAGAGACACUUCCUUUUUCUGCCACCUCUGCUUUAGGCAAAACCUUUGCUUUCUUCGGACUUGGUACUUCCAAUGGACUGACUGCAGUCUGGUCUCUCUUAUUAUUCUGAAAAGAGUAGAUUUCUCAAGUUCAUGGAACAGUUCAUAUUUUUAUCAAGCAAAACUACAUUCUGUGGAGGCACAAGUCAAAUCUCUUAUUCCUUUGCUCAUAAAAACAUCGAUUAUAUAGAAAGGUACCCCCAACCUUCCACCUUAUGAUUUAGGCCUCCUUUGGUUCAUAGGAUAGGAAUAGUAUAGGAAUAGGAAAAUCAUAGGAAGUGAGAUGACAUGCAUCUCAAAUCCCAUAGAGAAAGAGAUGUCAUUUGAUGCAUAGGAUAGGAAUUUUUCCAUAGAGUCUAGUCCAAUGUUUUUUUUUCCUUUGAAAUGUGAAGGAUUGAUACCUAUCCUACGUAGGAAUAGGAAUCCAUUCCUACAAACCAAAGGGCUCCACAGGAAUUUUUCUACAAAGUUCCUAUCCUUUGCAACUCCUACAAUAUUCCUAUGAACCGAAGGAGGCCUUAGCAACAUAAUUUUACAUUACUCAAAAUUGACAUCCAAUAGGCAGAAAUAUUCGGCGCAGGAGUGGCGGGAAGACCACUAACAGAACAGGCAUUUUCAACAGGUGAGGAAUGUGCUACCUUCUCGAGCUCUCGCAGCUCCUCGCGAUCGUCAUCCUGCACAACCCCCAAAAAUACCUUGAGUUUAGCCUCCAAGCACAAAACAGAACAGAUCGAAAACGGAAUGGAACAAAAAAAACACCCAAACCUUAAUGGAGUCGAACCCCUGGACCUCCUCGACGGGGCCAAGCAGGUGCGAGGAGGCGGGGAAGCAGGCGACAUGGUACCACUUGGUGCUGUCAAAGCCACGGGGGUCAUGGGCUGAGACGCCAAUGCGAAGAGCGCCCUUGGCGAUGCUUGCAUUGCAGGCCUUGCAGGUGGAACGGGCGGACUUGGCGUAUUCAACAGACACACUUCCUUUUUCUGCCACCUCUGCUUUAGGCGAAACCUUUGCUUUCUUCGGACUUGGUACUUCCAAUGGACUGAC